UACGAAGGGGGCUAGCGUUGUUCGGAUUUACUGGGCGUAAAGCGCACGUAGGCGGUUUGUUAAGUCAGGGGUGAAGUCCCACAGCUCAACUGUGGAACUGCCUUUGAUACUGGCAAGCUAGAGUCCGGAAGAGGUAAGUGGAACUCCUAGUGUAGAGGUGGAAUUCGUAGAUAUUAGGAAGAACACCAGUGGCGAAGGCGGCUUACUGGUCCGGAACUGACGCUGAGGUGCGAAAGCGUGGGGAGCAAACAGG
Molecule: ribosomal RNA, 253 nt
Filed under: uncultured bacterium
Lineage: Bacteria
Description: partial 16S ribosomal RNA
Rfam family: Bacterial small subunit ribosomal RNA
Source: RNAcentral